Nerophis ophidion (straightnose pipefish) is the source of this 1214-nucleotide long non-coding RNA. RefSeq lists it as uncharacterized. The transcript has 2 exons. Lineage: Eukaryota; Metazoa; Chordata; Actinopteri; Syngnathiformes; Syngnathidae. The record is from RefSeq and is a predicted model, not a curated record.
UUCUGUUUGGACUUGAGUUUCCAUUCUCCGUACGAUAGAGUUGUAGAUAAAAGACAGGUCGGGACUGAUUCCUUAAAACUGAAACCAAACACGACAAACUCCUUACAAAAGAACGUGAACGAGACGAUUGAAAAGGACUUGUAUGCUUUGUGCGUUUCUAAAGACCUGCAUUCCCGAUGUCCGCUUCCAAAGACAACAAGUCCAGUAUAAAGAAAAGUCGGCUUUUAGCUCAACACUUAACAGGCUCAGCUCAUCAGAUGGGAGAUAAAAAAGGUGGGUCGUGGCACUGCAACAUAGUCCUCCUUUCAUCCUGCCGACGACAAACAAAAGGGACUUGACAGACUCUCAAGCUCGGGGGGGCUGGAUGACUACGGAGUUAGGCAGAAACCACCUCGAGUACUGAGACAAACCCGGAACUCAAGGCCUGGCCUUUGUUGUCGCAUGCAUUGUUUGACAAACUUAAGUUUGCGUGCUCCUGGCAGUAGUCUUUCCUUCAAACACUGCAUUGUGCACAAACACAACACGGAAUGCCGCCUCUCAACAUUCAUUAGAUGAAGACAUUCACGUACGUGGAGGAGACUUCUUGACAUCAAAGACCUUCUGGUGGAAAGUUCUCUGGUCAGAUCAAACAAAAAUGGAGCUGUUUGGUCACAAUACCCAGCAAAAUCCCAUAAUGGUGAUGAAAGGAUGGUCCGCGCCUGAGAGCUGCGGCCAACCACCAUGACCCCGAACUCCCUCCCUCUGUUGCUAGAUAUCUCGAAAUAUAAGUUGUAAUAUGUAUCUGUACUUUGCUAUGGAGAUUUUUCCCUAAACCCCGUUUCCAUAUGAGUUGGGAAAUUGCGUUAGAUGUACAUCACCGCCGGCGGCGUUUCUGGAUGUUGUUGAUAAAUGGCUUUCGCUACCGGACUCUAGGGCAGUAGGGGACGCCUUAUCUGGAGUGAUGAAUCACACUUUUCCAUCUGGCAAUCUGGUGGACAAGUCUGGGUUUGGAGGUUGCCAGGAGAACGCUACAUUUCGGACUGCAUUGUGCCAAGUGUGAAAUUUGGUGGAGGAGGAAUUAUAGUGUGGGGUUGUUUUUUUUUUUUUUAAGUUGGCCUUGGCCCCUUAGUUCCAGUGAAAGGAACUACAAACCCCGUUUCCAUAUGAGUUGGGAAAUUGUGUUCGAUGUAAAUAUAAACAGAAUACAAUGAUUUGCAAAUCCUUUUCAACCCAUA